RNAcentral lists this ribosomal RNA (490 nucleotides) under uncultured bacterium. RNAcentral's name for it is "partial 16S ribosomal RNA". It matches the Rfam family "Bacterial small subunit ribosomal RNA", at positions 30 to 507 of the family's 1533-position model. The record is from RNAcentral.
AUUGAACGCUGGCGGCAGGCCUAACACAUGCAAGUCGAACGGUAACAGAAAGCAGCUUGCUGCUUUGCUGACGAGUGGCGGACGUGUGAGAAAUGUCUGGGAAACUGCCUGAUGGAGGGGGAUAACUACUGGAAACGGUAGCUAAUACCGCAUAACGUCGCAAGACCAAAGAGGGGGAGCUUCGGGCGUCUUGCCAUCGGAUGUGCCCAGAUGGGAUUAGCUAGUAGGUGGGGUAACGGCUCACCUAGGCGACGAUCCCUAGCUGGUCUGAGAGGAUGACCAGCCACACUGGAACUGAGACACGGUCCAGACUCCUACGGGAGGCAGCAGUAGGGAAUAUUGCACAAUGGGCGCAAGCCUGAUGCAGCCAUGCCGCGUGUAUGAAGAAGGCCUUCGGGUUGUAAAGUACUUUCAGCGGGGAGGAAGGGAGUAAAGUUAAUACCUUUGCUCAUUGACGUUACCCGCAGAAGAAGCACCGGCUAACUCCGUG